This 24-nucleotide microRNA is filed under the name Macaca fascicularis (crab-eating macaque). Its description in RNAcentral is "piRNA piR-mfa-426261". RNAcentral also lists the same sequence under 2 other names. The record is from RNAcentral. Lineage: Eukaryota; Metazoa; Chordata; Mammalia; Primates; Cercopithecidae.
UGAGAACUGAAUUCCAUAAGCUUU